RNAcentral lists this ribosomal RNA (279 nucleotides) under uncultured bacterium. Its description in RNAcentral is "partial 16S ribosomal RNA". It matches the Rfam family "Bacterial small subunit ribosomal RNA", at positions 506 to 784 of the family's 1533-position model. The record is from RNAcentral.
UGCCAGCCGCCGCGGUAAUACGGAGGUUGCAAGCGUUGUUCGGAAUUACUGGGCGUAAAGGGGGCGCAGGCGGUUUGGUUAGUCUGAAGUGAAAGCCCGGGGCUUAACCCCGGAAGGCCUUUGGAUACUGCCAAACUAGAGUACGGGAGAGGAGAUCGGAAUUCCUGGUGUAGCGGUGAAAUGCGUAGAUAUCAGGAGGAACACCUAUGGCGAAAGCAGAUCUCUGGCCCGAAACUGACGCUGAGGCCCGAAAGCGUGGGGAGCGAACAGGAUUAGAUA